Molecule: ribosomal RNA, 239 nt
Filed under: uncultured bacterium
Lineage: Bacteria
Description: partial 16S ribosomal RNA
Rfam family: Bacterial small subunit ribosomal RNA
Source: RNAcentral
CGAACGGGUGAGGAACACGUGAGAAACCUGCCUUUCAUUCUGGGAUAACACCGGGAAACCGGUGCUAAUACCGGAUACUCCAUCUUGGCGGCAUCGCCGAGCUGGGAAAAAAUUUUGAUGAAAGAUGGUCUCGCGGCCUAUCAGCUUGUUGGUGGGGUAAUGGCCUACCAAGGCGACGACGGGUAGCCGGCCUGAGAGGGCGACCGGCCACACUGGGACUGAGACACGGCCCAGACUCC